UUUUGAUCAUGUAUGGAUUCUUUUUUUAUGUUAGAAGACUACAAUUAUUUAUUUCAGGAGGUCAUUCACAUGACAGUAACAGGACAAGUAAAAUGGUUUAACAACGAAAAAGGCUUCGGUUUCAUCGAAGUUGAAGGCGGAAACGAUGUAUUCGUACACUUCUCUGCAAUCACUGGCGACGGCUUCAAGUCUUUAGAAGAAGGCCAAAAAGUUAGCUUCGAAAUCGAAGAAGGUAACCGUGGACCACAAGCUAAAAACGUUGCAAAAAUCUAAUUGUAUAGAUAGCAGCGAAAAAGGACAGCAUAUGCUGUCCUUUUUUUU
Molecule: non-coding RNA, 321 nt
Filed under: Bacillus manliponensis
Lineage: Bacteria; Bacillati; Bacillota; Bacilli; Caryophanales; Bacillaceae
Description: Bacillus sp. BL4-6 cspA thermoregulator
Rfam family: cspA thermoregulator
Source: Rfam by way of RNAcentral